UACGUAGGGGCUAGCGUUAUCCGGAAUUACUGGGCGUAAAGGGUGCGUAGGUGGUUUCUUAAGUCAGUGGUGAAAGGCUACGGCUCAACCGUAGUAAGCCUUUGAAACUGGGAAACUUAAGUGCAGGAGAGGAGAGUGGAAUUCCUAGUGUAGCGGUGAAAUGCGUAGAUAUUAGGAGGAACACCAGUUGCGAAGGCGGCUCUCUGGACUAUAACUGACACUGAGGCACGAAAGCGUGGGGAGCAAACAGGAUUAGAUACCCCUGUAGUCCCUGAGCGGGCU
RNAcentral lists this ribosomal RNA (282 nucleotides) under uncultured prokaryote. RNAcentral describes it as "partial 16S ribosomal RNA". It matches the Rfam family "Bacterial small subunit ribosomal RNA", at positions 524 to 817 of the family's 1533-position model. The record is from RNAcentral.